ACGAACGCUGGCGGCGUGCCUAAUACAUGCAAGUCGGGCGCGGGAAGCGGACAAUCACCCUUCGGGGUGUGCGUCCGUGGAACGAGCGGCGGAUGGGUGAGUAUCACGUGGGCAACCUGCCUGUAAGAUUGGGAUAACUCGCGGAAACGUGAGCUAAUACCGAAUGAAGUCUUUCACCGCCUGGUGAAAGGAUGAAAGAUGGCUCUUGAGCUAUCACUUACAGAUGGGCCCGCGGCGCAUUAGCUAGUUGGUGGGGUAAAGGCCUACCAAGGCGACGAUGCGUAGCCGACCUGAGAGGGUGAUCGGCCACACUGGGACUGAGACACGGCCCAGACUCCUACGGGAGGCAGCAGUAGGGAAUCUUCCGCAAUGGACGAAAGUCUGACGGGGCAACGCCGCGUGAAGUGAUGAAGGUCUUCGGAUCGUAAAACUCUGUUGUCAGGGAAGAACAAGUUGUGUUCUAACAGGACAUGACCUUGACGGUACCUGACCAGAAAGCCCCGGCUAACUACGUGCCAGCCGCCGC
RNAcentral lists this ribosomal RNA (526 nucleotides) under uncultured bacterium. Its description in RNAcentral is "bacterial SSU rRNA". It matches the Rfam family "Bacterial small subunit ribosomal RNA", at positions 29 to 518 of the family's 1533-position model. The record is from RNAcentral.